Molecule: ribosomal RNA, 521 nt
Filed under: Luteimonas aestuarii
Lineage: Bacteria; Pseudomonadati; Pseudomonadota; Gammaproteobacteria; Lysobacterales; Lysobacteraceae
Description: bacterial SSU rRNA
Rfam family: Bacterial small subunit ribosomal RNA
Source: RNAcentral
ACCAAGGCGACGAUCCGUAGCUGGUCUGAGAGGAUGAUCAGCCACACUGGAACUGAGACACGGUCCAGACUCCUACGGGAGGCAGCAGUGGGGAAUAUUGGACAAUGGGCGCAAGCCUGAUCCAGCCAUGCCGCGUGGGUGAAGAAGGCCUUCGGGUUGUAAAGCCCUUUUGUUGGGAAAGAAAAGCAGUCGGUUAAUACCCGAUUGUUCUGACGGUACCCAAAGAAUAAGCACCGGCUAACUUCGUGCCAGCAGCCGCGGUAAUACGAAGGGUGCAAGCGUUACUCGGAAUUACUGGGCGUAAAGCGUGCGUAGGUGGUUUGUUAAGUCUGAUGUGAAAGCCCUGGGCUCAACCUGGGAAUUGCAUUGGAUACUGGCAGGCUAGAGUGCGGUAGAGGGUAGUGGAAUUCCCGGUGUAGCAGUGAAAUGCGUAGAGAUCGGGAGGAACAUCCGUGGCGAAGGCGACUACCUGGACCAGCACUGACACUGAGGCACGAAAGCGUGGGGAGCAAACAGGAUUA